RNAcentral lists this unclassified non-coding RNA (240 nucleotides) under plant metagenome. Its description in RNAcentral is "partial contains small subunit ribosomal RNA and internal transcribed spacer 1". The stretch from base 1 to 46 matches the Rfam family "Eukaryotic small subunit ribosomal RNA", at positions 1786 to 1831 of the family's 1831-position model. The record is from RNAcentral.
AAGUCGUAACAAGGUUUCCGUAGGUGAACCUGCGGAAGGAUCAUUACAUUCAGUAGCUUGCUACUGUUAGGGGGUCUAUCAGCCUGUAUAGUAUCACUACUGAUGAGCAGCACGACCCUCUGUCUGUACCCUUGUCUUUGCGCACUCAUGUAUCCUCGGCGCUAACCCCAGCCGCUGGACAACACUACUAACCUUUUUGAAUUUUUGCAAUCAGCGUCUUGAAAAACUUAAUAAUUACAA